GAAGAGGCGCUGCCUCCAGUCAAGUCUGUUUUUUUCAGGUGGGGACUGUAGGCCUUUGUGCCCUGCUGGAAAUCGUGAAAAGCAAGAGAGAAGAGUCCCAGUUAUUCUUGCUGCCUUUGAUAAGUGAAUUUAGGGCAACUACUAGUGCCAGUAGGCAUGGGGGAUCUACCGAUGAAGAAGACACAAAGUCUCCGCUCUCGUGGAGUUUACAGAGAAUAAUGAAUGAGAUUAAUUAAGAAAUGAAUGAGAUUAAUUGAAUGAAAUUGCCAGACUGAAUGAAGUGAAUGGCCUGAAUAUAAACAAUUUCCAAAUACAGAUAACACUGCAUAUCUGGUGUUUGCAAUACUCCCUUCGCACUUGAGGAAGAAGCACUAUGUCUGGGGCCAAGUGUGACCCUUUGUCUGUUGCUGGGUACCUUUCAUUUCGCACUUUCUCCUCUGCUGCUCUCCAGCACACUUACCCAUUGAUCCUCCUAUCAUCAAUAAGAAUCCGUUGAGAACAUCUUCCAGUACAGAGAGGAACCAACAUCUGGUUAAUUCAAACACAACCCCUGGGAUCAGAGGAAGUUAUUGUCCCAAAGUUGUGUGUCAUGCCCGAAGUGUCUGGGAUCCCCGAGUGCCUGUGGUGCCCAAGAGCUAUGAAUCUGCUAUCAUCAACACAGAGGGUACCUUCUGAAUGGGCUAUGUCUACAGUGAUGCUGCAAAUGGAAGCUAACCCUAGGAUGACUGGCCUCUGACACUUGAGCCAUCCCAUCAUCUGUCAUGGGUUGACCCAUCCAUCCCCUCAAUGAGCCUGACCUUCAGGACCACUGACAGAGGAGCAGUCAAUAGAAAUUAAUUGUUAAAUACCCAGAAAAUCUGAAAUGGUAUUUAAUAUGCAGUUCAUCAAGAGCAAAAGUUCCUUAAAUCUUCAUCUAGAAAAGUUAUUUAUAAGGGAUGAAUAUGUUGUAUGAAUAUGUUGUAUGCAAAUAUUAUAUUCAAGGGCAAGACCAUGAAAACAGUUUAAGAAUCCGACAGGGAAUUAGAUAAAGACAUCGGAGUGCACUUGUCAAAAUACAGCUAUCAAGAAUGAUGAUGUUGAAAAAUAGUUUAGCAAUAUAAUUGUCUAGAACCACAGGGAGUCUGAGAUUUUACCCAACUUGUGAGUUAACAACUCUGCUAUAGCUUCAUGAAAGAAGACACAAGACUCCUGGGUCAGGAACAAAGGUCUCUAAUACUCACAGCAAUAUCAGGAGCCAGAAUUUCAGGAUCCUUUUUCCUGCCAGUUUCUCAAGUCCUAAUUACCACCGAGUUACAGGAAAGGGCCAGGUAACACUAGCACUGCCAUCAGUGGCUGUAUUACAGAACAGGAACUCCAAGCUUAGGAAACCCAAAUCUUUUAUAGUUAACAAUGAACACAUCUGCCAUUGUUCUGAAGGGAGACGCUACCCCAAUCUUCCACACCUGUUCACUAUAUAAAUAUCUGUGAAAAGAUAGACAGAAAAAUAGGUGGAGAAUGCCUCUGCUCACAAGAUGUGCAGAAACGUGAGAGGCUCAUGGAGAACUGUUUCCCUACAAUGACAAAAUGCUGACGAUAUAUUGUUAUGUAAAAUAAAGCAGGCAUUUUUCACCUCAUUUUCAUGAAAUAUAGUGUGUUUAUAUAGAUAUUUAGAAAAGUAUGAAAGGACAUUCAUCCAGAUAUCAAUAGAAGAGUUUAUUAUUUUUGCUAGUUGUAAGUUCAAACUUUUCUAGUAAAAAUAGAUUACUUGUGAAAUUAUUUUUAAUCUUUUUUUUUUUUUGAGAUGGAGUCUUGCUCUGUCGCCCAGGCUCGAGUGCAGUGGCAUGAUCUCAGCUCACUGCAACAUCCACCUCCUGGGUUCAAGCAAUUCUCCUGCCUCAGCCUCCUGAGUAGCUGGGAUUAUAGGUGCAUGCCACCAUGCCCAGCUAAUUUUUGUAUUUUUAGUAGAGACGGGAUUUCACCAUGUUGGUCAGGCUGGUCUCGAACUCCUGACCUCGUGAUCUGCCCACCUCGGCCUCCCAAAGUGCUAGAAUUACAGGUGUGAGCCACUGCACCCCUCCUAAAUGUCAAUUUAAUAACUGAGGGAGCCCUUAAAAUACCCCGCUGACUUCCACACGGGUGUGUAAAAUAGAAUCUGCUCACGUCUUAGAGGAGAUAAGUACAUGCUUAAUGUUCUUAGGAGAGACCUGCCUUUUGACAUGGAAGCUGUGGUAUUGUUGACAAGAGCAUACCUCCUUAAACCAUGCAAACCACGUUCACAUCAAAGCUGCCUACGAAUGAUUAUUUUCCAUGAUGCUAUGCUCCCUCCUGCCUGCCUCAGUGGCAAGUGUGACUCAGCAAGUGUAUCCAGGGCAUCCCUCACUCUUACUUAUUUUUGCCAAAUGCAGUGGAAAUGUAUAGACUUUUUUUCAUAUUUAUGUUGGCUGCAGAGCAUAAAUCUGAAUAGGUUCUCCAAAGUAAGCUUUUUCUGCAUGCAUUUGCUCCCAAUGAUGAUAGGUAUUAUGAAUUGCUUUAUAGUAAUCAUUAUCCUUUUCCAUAUGUUUUACGGUUAGUCUGUGC
This is a long non-coding RNA of Homo sapiens (human), 2556 nucleotides long. Ensembl annotates it as WDR11 divergent transcript. Its record names the gene WDR11-DT. Lineage: Eukaryota; Metazoa; Chordata; Mammalia; Primates; Hominidae. The record is from Ensembl.